UACGGAGGGGGCUAGCGUUGUUCGGAAUUACUGGGCGUAAAGCGCACGUAGGCGGCUUGGUAAGUUAGAGGUGAAAGCCCGGGGCUCAACUCCGGAACUGCCUUUAAGACUGCAUCGCUAGAAUCCAGGAGAGGUGAGUGGAAUUCCGAGUGUAGAGGUGAAAUUCGUAGAUAUUCGGAAGAACACCAGUGGCGAAGGCGGCUCACUGGACUGGUAUUGACGCUGAGGUGCGAAAGCGUGGGGAGCAAACAGG
This 253-nucleotide ribosomal RNA is filed under the name uncultured bacterium. Its description in RNAcentral is "partial 16S ribosomal RNA". It matches the Rfam family "Bacterial small subunit ribosomal RNA", at positions 524 to 776 of the family's 1533-position model. The record is from RNAcentral.